GUCUACAGCCAUACUACCCUGAACGCGCUCGAUCUUGGAAGCUAAACAGGGUCAGGUCUGGUUAGUACUUGGAUGGGAGGCUGUCUGGGAAUACCAGAUGGCUUUUGGCU
RNAcentral lists this ribosomal RNA (110 nucleotides) under Cebus imitator (Panamanian white-faced capuchin). The record is from RNAcentral. Lineage: Eukaryota; Metazoa; Chordata; Mammalia; Primates; Cebidae.